This 138-nucleotide ribosomal RNA is filed under the name Triticum aestivum (bread wheat). Its description in RNAcentral is "partial small subunit ribosomal RNA". Lineage: Eukaryota; Viridiplantae; Streptophyta; Magnoliopsida; Poales; Poaceae. The record is from RNAcentral.
GUCAUCCUCAUUGUGUGGUCUACUUGGAAACACCCCAAUGCUUGCAUCGUCGAUGAGGAGCGCCCCUCUACCGCCAGGCUCGUCCAAAACAUCAGGGAUGAAGCGCGCCAAUGGGCUCGUGCAGGAGCCAUAGGGUGA